UUCUUCUACUAACUUUGUCACUUUCACAAAUCUGCGUGCCAUGCGUCAUUCAGCCCAUGCACUUCGCCAAAGCAAGCCCUUCGCAUGCAAAAAAAAUGCUUCAGAAUUCCUAUAUAUCGAUGUUUACACAGAGUUUCACACUCAGAAGAUAUGGACAAGGGUAGGGAGGCUUUGGUGGUUUGCAGUGAUAAGAGCAUGGGAAUUGGCAUAACGAUAUGGGAUAUGGCGACGGGGGAUCAUCUCCUACACAUACCCACCAGUGCUUCCCCUGCUCACGGGUUUCUGUGCUUGAGAAAGCAGUUCCUUGUAGCCUCUCAGAUUCACAGAAAUGGAUCUAUUGGUGGUGGAGCCAUCUUUAUCUGGGCAUUGAAUAAGCCUCAACCACCCCUUCGGAGUUACCCUGUGGAGGCCAUUGGGCCACUUUCUUGCACAAAUGAUGGCAUAUAUCUAGCGGGUGGGGCACUUUCUGGAAAUGCUCAUCUUUGGGAGCGUGUCAACUUGGUUGGGGGAUGACAGUUUUACAUUCUGGUGUGCUUGAGAAAAACCACAGAUUGCUAGUGGAAGAUUGCUCAAGACUUGGCAUGCUCAUCACAAAUCUGUGAAUUGCUUGCUAUUUUCCAAUGAUGAUUCUCUUCUUAUUUCUGGGUCAGAGGAUGGUAUGAUCUGUGUUUGGUCAGUAAUUAGGUAAACGCCAAUUCUUUUUCUAUUGGUACUUAAUUUCUGGAAGACAAAACAUAAGAGAUUUAAAGCCUUUCUAAUGAUGCAUUGUUCCAAUUAAAUUGAUGGAAGUUUGAUAGACAUGGAAGAUUCCAGAAACUUGCCUCCUUUGUUACAUUAUUCAUCAGAGCAUCUAUCCUCUAUCACCAGUCUGCUGACAGCAUCAGGCAGCUCAAGUUCACUUUUAGUAUCAAGCUCCCUUGAUGGUACAUGCAAGGUUUGGGACUUUGUCACCGGAAGGCUUAUUCAAACUCAAGUUUAUCCUCUAGGAGUAACUGCAAGUGUGCUUCACUCAGAAGAGGAGAUUUUGUUCUGUGGGUGUGUAGACGGAAGAAUUUUUGUCAACAAGCUUGAUAUUGGACUAUUGGAGGACUCUUUCUUUGUUGCAGAAGACCAAGCAGUUGUGUUAAAAGGACACAAGUAAUGUAUGGUGCUUGAGUUUCCAGUUACUCAUUGGAGACCUGAAUCUCCUGUCACAGGAAUAAACUGUUGAAAGACCUAGCUAGUGACUUUGAAUCUCAUUUUUAUGAGUUAAUUUGAUUCCCAAUAGUCUUAUAUGGGGACUGAAUCAUGAUAAACUAGCUCCUCUUAUCUUUAAUAGGUUCUUUGGCUUUGAAACCCAUUUGGAAACUUCACUGAAAGUGCAGAUUGUAAACAAACAUGCCCACUCGCUCGCGCACAGAUGUAGAGAUGCAAGCAAUGAACAUUGAGCAUUAAAUUUUCAUCCUUUGUCAGUUUGGUUAAUUAUUUGGAUAGAUUUUGAUCACAUGUUCAUGUAAUAAAAUCAGUUUUUCCUACCAUCCAUGCAGUGGAGCCAUAACUGCAUUGACCAUCAGUGGAUUGGGUCUGAUAUCCGCAUCUGCAGACUGCACCAUCUGCAUAUGGGAUGUAGUCAACCGGAUGAUCAUCCGGAGAUUCAACCAUCAAAAAGGGGCAGUAACUAAUAUGGUGGUGAUUCCGCAAUCCUCACUGCUUUCUGCAUCAAACCAUUUGGGAGUUUUGAACCAGUUUCAUGUUUCUUUGCUUGACAAGUAUCCUCAGCCAGCCAACUCAUCCAAGGGAACAGCCACUCUCCUUUCCCUGCCUCGUUCCUUUAAGGGAACGCAAACUUCCUUCGAUUCGCGAAGCACUCAUUCAUCAAACCAGCAUAUGUCAGACUUGGAGGUCUCUUCCUCUCUCAUGAACAGCGUGCGAUUGUUGACACAUGCACAGACCAUUAACAUAACAUAUAGAUCCGAUUUACCAUUGAAUCACCAAAUAACACAAAGUUUAUACCCGAAGAAGACUAAUGAGUCACAUUUUGUAAUAAUAUGAUGUCCCAUGACUUCUUGCUGUAGGAAAAGUGGGAAGAAUAGGAAAUAUUUUAUAGCAAA
Molecule: RNA transcript, 2090 nt
Organism: Juglans regia (Persian walnut)
Lineage: Eukaryota; Viridiplantae; Streptophyta; Magnoliopsida; Fagales; Juglandaceae
Gene name: protein ROOT INITIATION DEFECTIVE 3-like
Exons: 5
Source: RefSeq, a predicted model, not a curated record